This 252-nucleotide ribosomal RNA is filed under the name uncultured bacterium. Its description in RNAcentral is "partial 16S ribosomal RNA". It matches the Rfam family "Bacterial small subunit ribosomal RNA", at positions 525 to 776 of the family's 1533-position model. The record is from RNAcentral.
ACGGAGGGUGCGAGCGUUAUCCGGAAUUAUUGGGUUUAAAGGGUACGCAGGCGGCCUAUUAAGUCAGUGGUGAAAUCCCGUCGCUUAACGACGGAACUGCCAUUGAUACUGAUAGGCUUGAAUAUAGUUGAAGUGGGCGGAAUGUGUAGUGUAGCGGUGAAAUGCUUAGAUAUUACACAGAACACCGAUAGCGAAGGCAGCUCACUAAACUAUUAUUGACGCUCAUGUACGAAAGCGUGGGGAGCGAACAGG